This is a long non-coding RNA of Raphanus sativus (radish), 1390 nucleotides long. RefSeq lists it as uncharacterized. Lineage: Eukaryota; Viridiplantae; Streptophyta; Magnoliopsida; Brassicales; Brassicaceae. The record is from RefSeq and is a predicted model, not a curated record. The transcript is spliced from 5 exons.
AAACUCUGCGUUUAAAGAGUUACCCCCUUAGGGCUUCCCUGUUAUCCUGCUUCAAGAACUCAACCUCGAUGUCUCCUAAUCUCAUCUCUUUGCAUCCUAUGUCGCUAUCUCUUGACCUUCCUGGUGGUUCAGUGUAUUUAUUUUAAUUUUCCAUAUCUGUUAUUCACAUUGAAUCCAGUUUCCAUGGUGACUCCUCAGUUUCCUUCAUCUCAAAUCUGUAAAUAUAAGCAGGUUGAGAUUACGAUGGACAUUGAGAACCAGGGGGGAGGGGUUUAGGUUCCUGCUUUGAAAGAAUCGAUAUCUCUUUUGAUUUUUUUUCUUGCUUUUCAUUUUUGAUUCUUAGGGAUUCUAUAAUAGCAGCGACAAAAAAACGGAUAAAGAUAUUUCUGCGGAUUCAACGACUUUCGUUCUCACUGAAGAGGAAUACUGUGAGGAGAUUCUUCUAGAGAAAGAGAUACUUCUAGCCAAACUUCGGGAUGAUGAGGAGAGAGCCAAUUGUGCUGCGUCUGGUGAAGCUCCUGAUCUGAAUGAUACCCAGUUUACUAAACUGGAUGAGCUCUUGACUCAGACCCAACUCUACUCUGAGUUUAUUUUUGAGAAAAUGGAGGAUAUCACAAAAGCAAAUCUUCUUUUUGCCUUUUUGUUGGUUAAAGAACAUGAUUUUUCUUAAUUGAGUUAGUGUGCUUUGGUAGAAUGGGAUAGAAGGUGAGACUCUAAAAGCCGAGCCUGAGAAGAAAGGAGGUCGUGGACGCAAAAAAGGAUGCUACUCAGGCCGCCAAUCUGAAGGUUAAUAAAGCUGUUGCUGCAUGAUUUCAAGAGCUAAAGGUCAUAUAUCUGCCAACUCAGAUCUGAGAGAGGAAAAAAAGGCAUGAAAGAGCAGAGUGAAUUCAUGGGAAUCUCUACUCCUCCUGAUUGGAGAUCUCAACAACUUCCUCUCCAACUCUGACAAGCAGAAGCUUAUUUUAUUUGCAAGGUUCGGAUUGCUCGGAAAUUUUCAGCUAUAUAGAGGGCUUGGAUGGUGAGCCAAAACUAUAUCUUGAGACAAAAUGGUUUGUACUAUGUCUCUUGCACUCUGCUGCAGCAAAAAAUUAGACAGAUCUCCCUCAUCUCUCACUGCAACCAAUGUGUCAAUCACAAUGUCACAAUUGUUGUAAAGCCCAUAGGUAAAGUUGAUGUACUUCAAGAAGCUUUCAUGGCUAUCCUCAAACUCGAAAAGGAGGUUUCUGCAAUAAUUUUAAGUUGCUCGAUAAAAAGAUCUAUUACAUUAUAUUUCAUUUGAUUCCUUUGUAAGAAACUAUUUUCACACCUAAUGCGUUCUUGCUUGCUUUCAAAUAACCAUGUUUUCAGAUGUAUUAAUCUUUUAUUUAAAUCAUAAUUAACAUAGACCAGA